AAUAUUUUAAAACUACUAUAAAUCGCUGCGCGCAAAGCAAUUCAAAUUAGUCCGCCGCGAGGCUUGCUGAAGGAAGGACGUAUCGCUCCGUGCUGCGCAUGACCCUUGUUGGCCCUUGUCGCGCAUACCUGAGUAGUGAACAUUUAUAGCGCGAUCGAAAAAUCUUGGUUCUUUGGUAAGAAAAAUAUUUUAUUUUGUUGAACUAAUGGGAAACAAAAUGAAGAUGUUUUUAGCAAAGAAAAGAAAACGCAAAGAUGUAGAAAAUUUGGAAAGUUUGGAAAAGGCAAGAGAGGCUAAAAGGCAAUAUAAAAGUAAAUCAACUGAAGAAACAAUAACAGAAAAAGAUGAAUGUGAAAACCAACACGCAGAAAAGGUACCUUGAAUUGUAUUUGAAUAGCAGUAUUUUUGACCGACUUCCGAAGUUAAGUACAGUUAAUAGAAUAAUAUGUGCUAGUUUCAUGCCUAAAUCAUAUCUAUCUGCAAAACUGAAAGCUAUUAGAAAAGCUGAAAGUUUGCCUGUUUGUGACCUCUACAGAGAAAAGAACGACCAACAACUAUGGAGUUUUGGUCGCAAUUACUUAAGGAGGUAU
Long non-coding RNA from Aricia agestis (brown argus), 590 nucleotides. RefSeq lists it as uncharacterized. The record is from RefSeq and is a predicted model, not a curated record. The transcript has 3 exons. NCBI's taxonomy places the organism in Eukaryota, Metazoa, Arthropoda, Insecta, Lepidoptera, Lycaenidae.